GCAAGUCGAGCGCUCACUUCGGUGGGAGCGGCAGACGGGUGAGUAACGCGUGGGAAUCUACCCAUCUCUACGGAAUAACUCAGGGAAACUUGUGCUAAUACCGUAUACGCCCUUCGGGGGAAAGAUUUAUCGGAGAUGGAUGAGCCCGCGUUGGAUUAGCUAGUUGGUGGGGUAAAGGCCUACCAAGGCGACGAUCCAUAGCUGGUCUGAGAGGAUGAUC
This 220-nucleotide ribosomal RNA is filed under the name uncultured bacterium. RNAcentral describes it as "partial 16S ribosomal RNA". It matches the Rfam family "Bacterial small subunit ribosomal RNA", at positions 57 to 305 of the family's 1533-position model. The record is from RNAcentral.